CUGGAGUCAAGGUCCCCCACAGAAUGGCUAAAAUGGAGACAAUAACAAGUGUUGAAGAGGAUGAGGAGAAAUGGGAACCUUCACACAUUGCUGAUGGGGACGUCAAAUGGUCAGCACUGGGCUCUGUGUGCACACCUGUGGCAGUGACCUGUCAUUACCAAAAACCAUUUAAUGUGUGAAGGUAAGAAGUUGUAUGCCCCUGUGCUUGGCAAACAUUUGAAGCAACAACCAAAUCACCAUGAACAAUGGUGGAAAUUAGGUUGUGGUGCAUUCACUAACUCUCACUUAAAUGCUGUGCCCGCACGGAUUCCUGCAGCGCUCACACACUUGACCUCUCCCUGUCUCUAUAGGCAUUUGGAAAUGGAAAGGCUUCUGAUAACACAUGUCUCAAGAAGUACUGCCAGCUAGUUGCCUGCAGACUCACGAUAAAGUAUUCACCUUGAUAAUUUGCUAGGAGUUGGGUAUCAGUCUUCCCACUAGAAAUCUUAUCCAUCCAUUGCUUGAUGAUUGGUUGAUGUUUGGCGGACACAGAACGGACUCCUCCCUCAGGGGCAGACUCAUCUGAACCAAGCUCACAGGAACUGAUAAGCACAAACCAGGAUGCCAAUCCGUGAAUUUACUGUGAAUUGUCAAGUCAUCCAGAAGACGAGAAGGCUUAUAUCAGCAACGUGGCGCAUCCCCCCCCCCACCCAGAGCCGUGGCAAGUUCAAGCAUAGCCAGAAUCACCAGUGUGUCCAUUCUGUUCAUAUCCAGUAAGAAAUACAACUGUAAAGCUGAUAUAGUCUUAAUCUUCCCCUCCUCCCACUUUCUCUCUCUCCUUCUCUCUCUCUCAACUUGUUCCGUGGGGAGCCAAUUUACCCAAAGGUGAGGAUGUUAUCACGACAUUGGCAAUGAAUCAAUCCUAAGGAGCAUCUCUCUACCGCGAGGUGAAUGCCCUCUCACCACCAGAGGGACAGUGUGCCAUGGAAAUGGAAACACUUCAGGCUGUUGGACGGAGAGUACCACCCCCUGGGUGGAACUUGCAUAGGUGUCACCACCCUCAGCCUGCCCCCCACUCUGCUUUGUCUUUGUUUCCAUGGCGAGCAGGUCCAGUUCUGACUGGCCCGCUCAGCCAGACACAGUCAUUUGUAAGGGGCCUGGAGUCAUUCCAUCUCCUUAAGGAUAUGUGGCUUAUCUCUCCUGUGAUGUACUGAUUUUGGAGGCUGAUCUAUCGUGGGUGUGUUGAACGAGAACAGUUCUUGGGAUGGACUCCUCAAGCAGCUUUCUUCUGUCCCGACCAUCUUCUUAAAUCCGCUCUGGGCCAGUUCUUCUCCAGUCCCUGGAAGGAAUGUGAAACAAUCCCAUGCAGUUUCUGUUCACUCUCUGGGAAUGAAAGUAACAAGUUAUCAUCUCACUCCUGUCAGAAAAAUAUCCAGCUUUAUAUAAUGCUUGAAACUCUAGGUUUGGUUUAAAAUUGAGUCUCCCAUCCCUCCAGCUCGUGAGUUUAAGACAGAGGAGGGGCUUGACUGGCUUCUCCGUGCGUUAGUCAGCUCAGGCUGCUAUAACAGAAUGCCAGAGACCUGGUGGUUCAAACAACACACAUUUGUUUCUCACGGUUCUGUAGGCUGGGAAGUCCAAGAUCAAGGUGCUGGCCAGCCCAGAUCCUGGUGAGGACUGUCUUCCUGGCUUGCAGAAAAUUGCUUCCUUGCUGUGUCCUCACAGGGUGGAGAGAGAGAGGUCUCUUUAGGGUCUCUUAUAAGGGCACUAAUCGUAUUGGAUCAGGACUCCACCCUUAUGACCUCGUUUAACCUUAAUUAUUUCCUUAAAGCCCCAUCUCAAAUUCAGCUACAUUGGGGGUUGGGGCCUCAAUAUGUCAAUCUGGGGGGACACAGUUCAGUCCACAGCACUCACUUUUAUCACUUGUGUUUCCUCCCCUUCCUCUCCUGUGCUCAGUUUCUUUCCCAUGAAUAGGGGGAGAGAGGAGAAUCCAGGAAGCAGGACCACGUGUACUCGCGUGAAGCUGGCAUGAGCCUUCAGCGCACUCUCGGGCCCGGCAGUGUGUGAAUCCGAUUCCUUCUGUUGGGGAAAUGUUUGUCAAUUCUUGGGAGACCUUCUUCAUACAGUUGCUACGCUGUCCUCCUGCUCAACGCUUGUGGCUCUUUCCUUAACCCUUAAGAAUUCCAGGGCUGGCCUCCCGCCGCUUCCGUGCAGUCCCUUCUCCCCCGCGACAGCCCCCUUGCACAGACUGAGUGCUUGAUUCCACACCAGCUCUCGCUCCAGGGUGGGCCAUUAUGGUCACUGCAAACCCUCAGGCUUCCUUUUACUUUCUUCCUUUUGCAUCCCAAACUCUGAGAAAACGGGCCAGUCACAACACAGUACCAAAACCCUCUUUGCUCCUGCAGUCAGAACAGCUCCCACUUUUAGUUUCCCAGGCAGGGGUCAGAAUCCGUCCCCCUGCUCCCUGCUAAUCCACAGAGGACUUAUUCUAGCUUUCUGAGGAGUGUCCCUGAAGCCCUUCUCUCUUGACCUGAGGGAAGGGGAAUUAGCCCCCUGCCACCCUCCAGUCCUCCCUUCUCUGACAGACCUGGUGAAUUGGUCCCUAGCAUCAGUCCCAGCCUCUUUUCUGGUGUGCUUUCCUGCACCGCGAAAUUGAAAAUGAUCAUUUUCAGACUCUCUUGCAGUUAGGUUCUGGAUGCAGAAAAGGUGCUGCCGAUGGAUGGCACUUGAAGAGGAUUUGAAAGGCAGAACGGAGAAGGCGGGUGGGGGGAGGAAGCUUUCCAAUGCACGCAAGGCUGGCAGAUGGAGAUGGCUUUUCUGUGUCCAUGAUCCGCGUCCAACCAUUGUGCUCAUGGACAUCGAGGGGCAGUUGUGUCAGUGGUGACAGAGGUUUCCUUAUCUCUGGGUCACAGCUCUGGUGGUGAGAUGUUGAUGUCAGCAGUGCUGGAGCUCCAUGCUGGUCUCCUGACCCCUCCCCUCUAGGUAGCAACCAGAGCAGCAGCUCCCCUGGAGGCCUAUUCAGUGGUCCCGUUCCCAAACUCACUUCUGGAGGCCUGGCCUGCGAUAUACUCCUCCAGCCUUUCCAAAACUUUCUAAGUACAAAAUUCCUUGAAAUAAUGCUCAUCUGAUUAAAAUAUCUAGAAUGGUUUCUGCUCCCUGCAAAUGAUGCCUGAUGAUACACCUCCCCUUGGGAAGGGAGUGGAGUGAAGCUCGGGGCACAUCAACAACCAGGCUGCAACCUCCCUUUGGACAUCCCGUUGUGAACUCCCGGAGGCAGGCCUCGUUUCCAGCCGGGCCGAGCUCUUCCAGAGCUGCUGUGUCCUUGUCAUGCUCCAUCACGUGAAAAGGGCCCACUGUGCUUGGAACAGCGCAGUUCCCUAAGAAGGAAGAUGAUCUCUUCAUCUAUAUAUUUUUACAUACUCAAGAACCUAUCCAGUGUUUUAUUUACUUGACUAAUGACAUUCCCAACUGAAAAGCACUGACCCAGUCCCUUGACUCAUCUUUGAACUGGCCUCAGGAGCAGGCAGAGAGGUGGAAAACCUUCAGCAGCCUGAGACGAGCAGUUUCUCUCCAGAAUAUUCACUCCACCGACUACCACUGCAUCCCAGAGGGAUGGAUUCUUGGCUUGGUUUCGUUCACUGACAAAAUGCAGACAGCCCAGUCAUGUGAAAGUUGAGCCUCUGGCCCAGAAGCCCUCACCCGAGCUCAUCCUGACCUGUCUUCGGAGCAGGUUUUGACGAAAGGAAGCAGAGAGAACACAAGGGCCGUGGCCAGCAGCACGGAGGAAUGUGUGUGGCCUCCCUCCCCUCCCCCAAGCCACCCCACAUAAAAUAAGAGAAAUAUUGUUUGAGGUGAAUAAUUAACUUUCUCUUAAUAUUGUGUAAAGUAUACAUAAAAACUUCCUUUGGAAACUCUGCUAUUUGUCUUGCUUGAUAAUAGACUCUAAGCAAAAAAUGGUUUGCUCGCUCUAGAGAUGCAACUUUAAGACAAGUCCUGCAGCCGCUCCUUCCACUCGGUUUGCUGCCCCGAGG
Long non-coding RNA from Equus caballus (horse), 4007 nucleotides. The record is from Ensembl. Lineage: Eukaryota; Metazoa; Chordata; Mammalia; Perissodactyla; Equidae.